Molecule: long non-coding RNA, 873 nt
Organism: Tyto alba (common barn owl)
Lineage: Eukaryota; Metazoa; Chordata; Aves; Strigiformes; Tytonidae
Exons: 4
Source: RefSeq, a predicted model, not a curated record
GGGGUGUGUGGACAAAGAAAUACCCGAACAAAACAUGUUUCUAGCUGACAUCUUCCCUGGGCAUUUUGCAUCCUAGCAGAGCAAAUGGGUCUGGACGGAUCCUGAAAACAGCUGCAGCUGAUGGAGGGAUCCAGCCUGAGCUCAUCUCCCAGAGCCACGCGAGGAGCCCUGAGGGAGCUGGGGAAGGUGGCAGCCAACAUGACUCCAAUCUCAGGAGAACUCCGUGGUACCUCUUCAGAGACACAGCAUUCACAUGGGAAGUUGCAGUGGCACGGGAAUCUGUUUUGUCAGUGAACACACUCGUGAUGAGGAGUUUGCAGAGCAAAACACAGAACGUUUGGUGUCUCCUGUUCAUCUUGAUUCAUGAAUACCUUCCGAUGCCACAUUUCCAGCUACUAGAAUAAUUGGAUCUGCUGGAGGCAAGUUCCUAGAAUGUGGGAUGCAUAAUGGAUUCUGUCUGGGCUCUGCCACUGAGUCACCAUGUGCCUUUGAAUCAAGCAAUUCACCGCAGCCUGGAGCUUUCCUGAUGGCAGGUUGAGCCACAGCGGUUGCAGGAAGGGCUGUGGUCACCGCGUGGAAGGGCCUAGGAAGGUGGGUCACCAGGCAGCAAAGUGGGGAGACACCCAAAAAUCCCUGCAGGAACCAUCUUGGGCACCACAGGGCUGAUGUAGAGUUGGUGGAAAUAAAUUCUUGUGGACAGGAGGCUUCAGAGAAGCACUAGACAUCAUGGCAUCAUGUUCUCCAGCAGGUCCUGGAGGACCUCAUCACCUGGGUUUUCCCAUUAGGGGGAAAACCUCAGUGCUCUUGCUUCAGAUGAAAAGAAAAUGGUGUCUUGGUGUCACUCCUGCCCCUGGGCCAGCAUGAUCACUGUCC